UAACUCAUCUUCCAACCUCUAGUGCUUUCC
This 30-nucleotide non-coding RNA is filed under the name Mus musculus (house mouse). Lineage: Eukaryota; Metazoa; Chordata; Mammalia; Rodentia; Muridae. The record is from RNAcentral.